This 377-nucleotide ribosomal RNA is filed under the name uncultured bacterium. RNAcentral's name for it is "bacterial SSU rRNA". It matches the Rfam family "Bacterial small subunit ribosomal RNA", at positions 524 to 898 of the family's 1533-position model. The record is from RNAcentral.
UACGAAGGGUGCAAACGUUAUUCGGAUUUAUUGGGCGUACAGGGUGCGCAGGCGGCACGCUAAGUCAACUGUUAAAUCUCCCGGCCUAACUGGGAAUCAGCGGUAGAUACUGGCAUGCUAGAGGGUGGAAGAGAGAAGUGGAAUUCUUGGAGUAGCGGUAAAAUGCGUAGAUCUCAAGAGGAACACCGAUGGCGAAGGCAGCUUCUUGGUCCACAUCUGACGCUCAUGCACGAAAGCGUGGGGAGCAAACAGGAUUAGAUACCCUGGUAGUCCACGCUGUAAACGAUGAUCACUAGACGUUAGUUCUGCUCUGCAGAAUUAGUGUCGUAGCUAACGCGUUAAGUGAUCCGCCUGGGGACUACGGUCGCAAGAUUAAA